AGCUAGUAAGAUCCCUGAAAGAUGAUCAGGUUGAUAGGUCAGAGGUGGAAGCGUGGCGACAUGUGUAGCUGACUGAUACUAAUCGAUCGAGGACUUAACCAA
This 102-nucleotide ribosomal RNA is filed under the name Priestia megaterium. Its description in RNAcentral is "partial 23S ribosomal RNA". It matches the Rfam family "Bacterial large subunit ribosomal RNA", at positions 2823 to 2925 of the family's 2925-position model. The record is from RNAcentral. Lineage: Bacteria; Bacillati; Bacillota; Bacilli; Caryophanales; Bacillaceae.